Long non-coding RNA from Oncorhynchus nerka (sockeye salmon), 5929 nucleotides. RefSeq lists it as uncharacterized. The record is from RefSeq and is a predicted model, not a curated record. Lineage: Eukaryota; Metazoa; Chordata; Actinopteri; Salmoniformes; Salmonidae. The transcript has 3 exons.
CUGUACCCCCCAUUCACACACAGGUCAUAUCCCAUAUAACUUCCCGUGAAGAAGACUUACCAUUAUGGCCAAUGAGUCUUACCUGGCUACCAAGAUGGCUAUCACACAGGGAAGACUGGUUGAGGUGGAGGAGGGAGAAGAUUGACACCUUGGGUUGCUAACUGACCCCAAUAUCAGUCAUAACAAUGAAACCUGGACUGCUCCAGAGGUUGUAAUUUGUUACGCUUUCGGUCUGUGAUGGCCUUCGUUGGAAAAUGCUGGCUACACGAGUUUGUAACAGAAGUUGAUGGGCUGUUUGAUGCAAACUAUAGAUGUUGGUGAUAUUUUGUUUGCAUUAAAAGGAUGGACCUUUGUGGACAUGGAACACUCCCAGAAGACAUACCGUUGUGGACAUGGAACACCAUCAGAAGACAUACCGUUGUGGACAUGGAACACUCUCAAAAGUCAUACCUUUGUGGACAUGGAACACUCUCAGACAACAUAACUUUGUGGACAUCGAGCACUCACAGACGAGAUAAGUACAAUGCUGAUUAAAUGAUUCCUUAAGCAUUGAUGCGACAUGGAAUCUAAUGGUGAUUAGUAAAUUAGAUAAGGUACUGUAGUAUAUUUCAUUGGGAGUCCACACAAGUGCAACUUUAAAACAGUCUGUUCUUUACUGAUAACAUAUAUAUUUUUCUAUAUUCAAACAGCUGUGUCUCAGGCUUUGUCAGGACACUUUAAUAUUUGUCGUUGGUCUUUUUUGUAUUACAUGCAGGUCAAUCUUUAUCUCUUUCCUCAAUGUCUGGAGUAAACUGUUCUCUUUCGAGUUCUUGACUCAUCUCAGAAUUAGUGGGCAGUGUAAAGACAUGAUUACCGUUGAUGUAGCUGUUCCUCUCUCUCCCUCUGACUAAGGGCGAUACAAUUAGAGCGUCUGUGAUAAAUCUCAAAAAGGAAUAUGAGUAGAAAGUAUGGAAACAACUCAAUAUAAUACAGAACUUUUUUGUGUGUGUUCAUCUGGGUCUUUUAAACUGUUCAAGUUCUAAUUGACUUCAGUAUUAAAGUGAAAGUACAUUUGAUUUGUCACGUGUCGAAUACAACAGGUGUAGAAGAUGUGUGUUAAUAUGUGUUAAGGAAGUAUUUACUAAAAUAAACUGAAGUAAAAAAAAAAAAAAAAAAGGAAGAAUGAAAAAUGACUAUUAAUUAAAAGGCAACAAUAAAAUAUCAGCAGCGAGGCUAUAUACAGGGGGUACCGGUACAGAGUCAAUGUGGCAGGGACACAGAUUAGUCAAAGUAAUUGAGGUAAUAUGUACAUGCAGUUAAAGUGACUAUGCAUAAAUAAUAACAGAGAGUAGCAGCAGCGUAUGGAAAUAGUCCGGGUAGCCAUUUGAUUAGGUGGUCUGGAGUCUUAUGGCUUGGGGUUAGAAGCUGUUAAGAAGCCUUUUGGACCUAGACUUGGUGCUCUGGUAGCGCUUGCCGUGUGGUAGCAGAGAGAACAGUCUAUGGCUAAGGUGGCUGGAGUCUUUGGAAAUUUUUAGGGCCUUCCUCUAACACCGCCUGGUAUAGAGGUCCUGGAUGGCAGGAAGCUUGGCCCCAGUGAUGUACUGGGCCGUACACACUAUCCUCUGUAGUGCCUUGCGGUCGGAGGAUGAGCAGUUGCCAUACCAGGCGGUGAUGCAAACAGUCAGGAUGCUCUUGAUGGUGCAGCUGUAGAAUUUUUGGAGGAUCUGAGGACCCAUAAAAACAUAUUUUCAGUCUCCUGAGGGGGAAUAGGCAUUGUCGUGCCCUCUUCACAACUGUCUUGUUGUGUUUGGACCAUGAUACUUUGUUGGUGUUGAACACCAAGGAACUUGAAGCUCUCAACCUGCUCCACUAUAGGCCUGUCGGUGAGAAUGGGCACAUGCUCAUCCUCCUUUUCCUAUAGUCCACAAUCAUCUCCUUUGUCUUGAUCACGUUGAGGGAGAGUUCUAUAUCCUGGCACCACACUGCCAGGUCUCUGACCUCCUCCUUGUAGGCUGUGUCAUCGUUGUCGGUGAUCAGGCCUACCGUUGUUGUGACGUCUGCACACUUAAUGAUGGAGUUGUGCUUAGUCAUGCCUGGCCAUGCAGUCAUGGGUGAACAGGGAGUAGAGGAGAGGACUGAGGGGCCCGCAUGUUAAGGAUCAGCAUGCCAGAUGUGUUGUUACUUACCCUUACCACCUGGAAGUGGCCCGUCAGUAAGUCCAGGAUCUAUUUGCAGAGGGAGGUGUUUAGUCCCAGGGUCCUUAGCUUAUUGAUGAGCUUUGAGGUCACUAUGGUGAUGAAUGCUGAGCUGUAGUCAAUGAAUAAUAUUAUCAUGCAGGUGUUCCUUCUGUACAGGUGGGAAAGGGCAGUGUGGAGUGCAAUAGAGAUUGCAUCAUUUGUUUAUCUGUUGGAGCGGUAUGCAAAUUGGAGUGGGUCUAGGGUUUUUGGGAUAAUGGUGUUGAGGCGAGCCAUGACCAGCCUUUCAAAACACUUUAUGGCUACAGACGUGAGUGCUAAGGGUCGUCAGUCAUUUAGGCAGGUUACCUUGGUGCUCUUGGGCACAGGGACUAUGGUGGUCUCAUUGAAACAUGUUGAUUACAGACUCAGACAGAGACAGCUUGCCAGUUGGUCAGCGCAUGCUCGGAGUACACGUCCUGGUAAUCCAUCUGGCCAUGCGACCUUGUGAAUGUUGACCUGUUUAAAGGUCUUACUUACAUCGGCUACGGAGAGCGUGAUAACAAAGUCAUCCAGAACAGCUGAAGCUCUCAUGCAUGCCUCAAUGUUGCUUGCCUCGAAGCAAGCAUAGAAUUAAUUUAGCUCGUCUGGUAGGCUCGUGUCAUUGGGCAGCUCUCGGCUGUGCUUCCCUUUGUAGUCCAAAAUAGUUUGCAAGCCCGGCCACAUCCGACGAGCGUCAGAGCCUGUGUAGUACAAUUCAAUCUUAGUCCUGUAUUGGCGCUUUGCCUAUUUAAUGGGUCAUUAGACGGCAUAGCAGGAUUUUUUAUAAGCGUCCGGGUUAGAGUCCCGCCCUUUGAAAGCGGCAGGUCUACUCUUUAGGUCAGUACGGAUGUUGCCUGUAAUCCACGGCUUCUGGUUGAGUUAUGUACGUGCAUUCACUUUGGGGAUGACGUCAUUGAUGCACUUAUUGAUGAAGCCAGUGAUUUAUGUGGUGCAAUCCUCAAUGCCAUCGGAAGAAUCCCUGAACAUUUUCCAGUCUGUGCUAGCAAAACAGUCCUGCAGCUUAGUAUCUGCCUCUUCUCACCACUUCCGUAUUGAGCGAGUCCCUGGUACUUCCGGCUUUAGUUUUCGCUUGUAAGCAGAAAUCAGGAGGAUAGAGUUAUGGUCAGAUUUUCCAAAUGGAGGGCAAGGGAGAGCUUUGUACGUCUCUGUGUGUAUUAAAGCUCCCGGCCACUAGGAGCGGCGCCUAUGGAUGAGCAUUUUCUUGUUUGGUUAUAGCCGUAUACCGCUCGUUGAGUGCUUGUCUUAGUGCCAGCAUCGGUUUGUGGUUGUAAAUAGACCGGUACGAAAAAUAUACUAGAGCUGCUUGACUUAUAAAUAUUUUGACAAGAGCUGUCAUGCUAGACAACUGCAGGCCCGAAUUGUUUUGUGCAGUUCAGCUUUUCAUGUAAGACCCUCCCUGCAGUUGAUUCAAAGCGAUAAUUUUUUUCUGAAGGUGUUUAUAGUUUGAGAUGUAUUGGCUUGGUGUUUUUGGAAAGCUAGUGUUGGAAGUCUCAAGAGACAUAUGAAGAUGAACCUUUUAAAAAACACAAGUCCCCUCGACUCGACUUGUUUUCCAUUCUUAACAUAUUGCAUCACGGCUCACAUACCAUGUUGGACCUGCGACAAGGCUUUGUGUGCGUAAUGGAUUGUGUAAAGUAUAUAUUCAUCAAAACGGUAACUUUGUGGGACCGUUGAGUUCAAGUAUUGAGUACACAUUGCAGUUACUGUGGUCACUUGGGGAUAUGUGGUUUUGGUUUCAUUAUGUAGUUAGAAUUGUUUAUGAGAGCAGACAAUUCACCUAAACUGCUAGUGUAGAUAAAAUGACAUUAGCACAGAAAGACAAUGAACAUUGAUUGUACAAAUAAAUCCAGUUUAUGUCCAUGUAUCUGUUGCCAGACUAUCACAAAGCCUUUCAAUAUCUAACCUGUUUAAGUUCAACCUUAGCUCUCUUAACAGCACUUACAAUAAAAUGUUCUGAGUUUAAUUAUAUCCUUUUCAGGUUUCUGGUGUUCUAAUCAAUUUGUUUUGGGAAUGUCAAGAGGAGAACCCCAGGUUCUGACAUAACUUUGUUUUUCCCAAAUAAUGUUCCUGUCAGCCCCCGGUAGUCUCCCACUCAGAUGCACAAUGUCAGACAGAGAACGUCAGUCAUCAGCAUUCGGUACAACAAUCAAAUCAUGCUGCUCUUAGAUAGUUGACAUGUUGGAGAUGUAUUUAUUCACACUUCCUUUGAAAAAAGUGAGCAAAAAACUUUUCACUUCAGAUGUUUCAACUGAAACAAGUCACAUUCCUUCACACAGUCAAAUGAGCUCACAUUCUCUAGCAAAUGUAAUAUAUAAAAACCAAUGCAUUUGGAGUCUAUCACCUGCAUACACUAUUUGAAGCUUAGUCACCCAGCACCGCAAUUACAUUGCAGGUAACCCAACACACUACCUAAGCCUUGUUUGGAUUAUUUGUAAUUCCUACCACUGGGGGAAAUAAUCUGUAUUGCCAGACAGCGCCGCUAGAAUAAAGUGUCAGUCUAUCUAAGGUUUAUUUGUGACUUCUCCAGUCUCUAACUCACUUGCACAACAGUGCGUGUGGGGAUUUGAUUGGCCGUUUGUCUGCAUUAGGUUUGUUGCCUGUUACAGAUAGCAGGAUGCAUCUCAUUAGUCAAGUGUGGGAAUGAUGGUUCAGAGCCCAAUAGAUUACAAUACAAUAGACUAUAACUAGUCUAUUGCUGCUUGCUGCUGGUGAUCCUCUGAUCCACCUCUACGCAGAUGACACCAUUCUGUAUAAUUCUGGCCCUUCUUUGGACACUGUGUUAACAAAUUUCCAGACGAGCUCCAAUGCCAUACAACACUCCUUCCGUGGCCUCCAACUGCUCUUAAAUGCAAGUACAACUAAAUGCAUGCUCUUCAACCGAUCGCUGCCCACACCUGCCCGCCUGACUAGCAUCACUACUCUGGACGGUUCUGACUUAGAAUAUGUGGACAACUACAAAUACCUAGGUGUUAGACUGUAAACUCUCCUUCCAGACUCAUAUUAAGCAUCUCCAAUCCAAAAUGGAAUCUUGAAUCGGCUUCCUAUUUCGCAACAAAGCAUCCUCCACUCAUGCUGCCGAACAUACCCUCGUAAAACUGACUACCCUACCGAUCCUUGACUUUGGCGAUGUCAUUUACAAAAUAGCCUCAAACGAUGUAGUCUAUCACAGUGCAUCUGUUUUGUCACCAGAGCCCCAUACACUACCCAGCACAGCGAUGUGUAUGCUCUCGUUGGAUGGCCCUCGCUUCAUAUUCAUCCCCAAACCCACUGGCUCCAGGUCAUCUAUACGUCUUUGCAAGGCUGAAUAUACUCUCCUGCAACCCGCAGAGCCCGGCCCGCCACAGGAGUCGCUAGUGCGUGAUGAGACAAGGAUAUCCCUACCGGCCAAACCCUCCCUAACCCGGACGAUGUGUAGAGGACUGCUAAUUCCUAUCUGAACAGGGUGUGACGACCAAGAACAGGCAUGGCAGGAUUCUACGAUGAUGGACAGACAACAGAGCCAAUGCCGGAUGACUACACCCCAGCCUGAUCCAAUCCGAAGAUCCGAUCUCCUAGAUAUCAACCUACUUUCUGUUGUGUAUAUGAAGCUUGUACUUACUGUUAGCAAGGUGUCUUUUUUGCUAGUCUCUGAUGAGCUAACAGAGGGGCCCGUAUAUACGCUGUACCAGAUAUCUCCACUUUGAAAUAAACCUGUCGCUUGUCGUACAAUCUAC